GUGCUCACUUCGGCAGCACAUAUACUAAAAUUGGAACGAUACAGAGAAGAUUAGCAUGGCCCCUGCACAAGGAUGACACGCAAACUCGUGAAGAAAUCCCCAUCAUU
This 107-nucleotide small nuclear RNA is filed under the name Jaculus jaculus (lesser Egyptian jerboa). Lineage: Eukaryota; Metazoa; Chordata; Mammalia; Rodentia; Dipodidae. The record is from RNAcentral.